This is a non-coding RNA of Callorhinus ursinus (northern fur seal), 817 nucleotides long. Lineage: Eukaryota; Metazoa; Chordata; Mammalia; Carnivora; Otariidae. The record is from RefSeq and is a predicted model, not a curated record.
UUCGCCCGGCAGAGGCCCGGACCGGUAUUCCGGUGGCUGCUGGGGGACUCGAGGAGGUCAUUUGGCUUCUCACGAGCCCCGUAUCUAACGGAAAAGGAGUAAGUUGGAAUAGAUUGGACCGAUUCAUGCCGUACCAAGAAAGUUCUGGGGAUCCCUCCACGCAAUAAGAUGUGAGUUAGAAGCAGUUACCUGCUGUCAAGAGGAACCAGAAGCAGAUGAUCUUUCUGCUGACUGAUGGUCAGAGGCUUACGUCAUUCCCUCGCUUCAUCUCGUCACAUAGGCAGUCUCUCAUCACAAGAAGAAGGAUGUGGGCAAGAGGAAAGGUAAUCGUUACCAAUAUAGCGGCUGUGACUCCUUGAGCAUCUGUAUAACCAGCGUGGUGCUAAGUACUGGGAACAUGGUGAUGAACAGAGAUGGACGUACUGAGCAGCUAAUGAAGAUGAAGCUUCAGGCUCCUCACUUGCCCAGCCCAUGUGAGUGCUGGGAAUUGUGGGAUGUUCAAAGUAGCCAGAGGAAGCCUGGUUACCACCAAGAAGCAUUUCUAUGUACCAGGAGAGCAAAUUCAAGCCUGAGUUUUUCUCAGGACUGGGUGGAGGUGGAAAGAAUUGCCCACGCCUCGGGAGGGAGUGGUCUCAGGCUGCCGAGCCCUCCCCUGCACGCAUCUCCAGCCUUCGAGGGAUCUCCACGGUGGCCCGGUGCUAUAGGACGGACCCCACCCAUCCAGAAAUACAGGGCUCGGCAGGCCACGGAGCACUUCGGCAGAUGCUCUUUCCUUGGCAGGAAGUAGGGGGGGCACGCCUGAUUAAAAUGCAGAAGC